Molecule: ribosomal RNA, 253 nt
Filed under: uncultured bacterium
Lineage: Bacteria
Description: partial 16S ribosomal RNA
Rfam family: Bacterial small subunit ribosomal RNA
Source: RNAcentral
UACGUAGGGGGCAAGCGUUGUCCGGAUCUAUUGGGCGUAAAGAGCGUGUAGGCGGCCAGACAGGUCCGUUGUGAAAACUCGAGGCUCAACCUCGAGAUGUCGAUGGAAACCGUCUGGCUAGAGUCCGGAAGAGGAGUGUGGAAUUCCUGGUGUAGCGGUGAAAUGCGCAGAUAUCAGGAGGAACACCGGUGGCGAAGGCGGGUCUCUGGGCUGACACUGACGCUGAGGCGCGAAAGCUAGGGGAGCGAACGGG